GCAAGUCGAACGAACUUCCGUUAAUUGAUUAUGACGUACUUGUACUGAUUGAGAUUUUAACACGAAGUGAGUGGCGAACGGGUGAGUAACACGUGGGUAACCUGCCCAGAAGUAGGGGAUAACACCUGGAAACAGAUGCUAAUACCGUAUAACAGAGAAAACCGCAUGGUUUUCUUUUAAAAGAUGGCUCUGCUAUCACUUCUGGAUGGACCCGCGGCGUAUUAGCUAGUUGGUGAGGUAAAGGCUCACCAAGGCAGUGAUACGUAGCCGACCUGAGAGGGUAAUCGGCCACAUUGGGACUGAGACACGGCCCAGACUCCUACGGGAGGCAGCAGUAGGGAAUCUUCCACAAUGGACGCAAGUCUGAUGGAGCAACGCCGCGUGAGUGAAGAAGGGUUUCGGCUCGUAAAGCUCUGUUGUUAAAGAAGAACGUGGGUAAGAGUAACUGUUUACCCAGUGACGGUAUUUAACCAGAAAGCCACGGCUAACUACGUGCCAGCAGCCGCGGUAAUACGUAGGUGGCAAGCGUUAUCCGGAUUUAUUGGGCGUAAAGCGAGCGCAGGCGGUCUUUUAAGUCUAAUGUGAAAGCCUUCGGCUCAACCGAAGAAGUGCAUUGGAAACUGGGAGACUUGAGUGCAGAAGAGGACAGUGGAACUCCAUGUGUAGCGGUGAAAUGCGUAGAUAUAUGGAAGAACACCAGUGGCGAAGGCGGCUGUCUGGUCUGCAACUGACGCUGAGGCUCGAAAGCAUGGGUAGCGAACAGGAUUAGAUACCCUGGUAGUCCAUGCCGUAAACGAUGAUUACUAAGUGUUGGAGGGUUUCCGCCCUUCAGUGCUGCAGCUAACGCAUUAAGUAAUCCGCCUGGGGAGUACGACCGCAAGGUUGAAACUCAAAAGAAUUGACGGGGGCCCGCACAAGCGGUGGAGCAUGUGGUUUAAUUCGAAGCUACGCGAAGAACCUUACCAGGUCUUGACAUCUUCUGACAGUCUAAGAGAUUAGAGGUUCCCUUCGGGGACAGAAUGACAGGUGGUGCAUGGUUGUCGUCAGCUCGUGUCGUGAGAUGUUGGGUUAAGUCCCGCAACGAGCGCAACCCUUAUUACUAGUUGCCAGCAUUAAGUUGGGCACUCUAGUGAGACUGCCGGUGACAAACCGGAGGAAGGUGGGGACGACGUCAAAUCAUCAUGCCCCUUAUGACCUGGGCUACACACGUGCUACAAUGGAUGGUACAACGAGUCGCGAGACCGCGAGGUUAAGCUAAUCUCUUAAAACCAUUCUCAGUUCGGACUGUAGGCUGCAACUCGCCUACACGAAGUCGGAAUCGCUAGUAAUCGCGGAUCAGCAUGCCGCGGUGAAUACGUUCCCGGGCCUUGUACACACCGCCCGUCACACCAUGAGAGUUUGUAACACCCAAAGCCGGUGGGGUAACC
Molecule: ribosomal RNA, 1427 nt
Filed under: Pediococcus pentosaceus
Lineage: Bacteria; Bacillati; Bacillota; Bacilli; Lactobacillales; Lactobacillaceae
Description: bacterial SSU rRNA
Rfam family: Bacterial small subunit ribosomal RNA
Source: RNAcentral